AUACCAUGAUGAGGACAUCUUCUUAGUAGCUCUUUAAAUCUUUCUCAUGCAUCAUACAAGUGUUCAUCUGCAAGUUGAUGAAAAGAUAUGAUCUCAUUUCUCAACUU
This is a small nucleolar RNA of 107 nucleotides. It matches the Rfam family "Plant small nucleolar RNA R71". From Rfam's summary of the family: R71 is a member of the C/D box family of snoRNAs containing the C (UGAUGA) and D (CUGA) box motifs. Multiple nearly identical copies of this snoRNA have been identified in Arabidopsis, and it is thought to function as a 2'-O-ribose methylation guide for 18S ribosomal RNA. The record is from Rfam.